GCCGUGGUGGUGGAAUUGGUAGACACGCAUGACUCAGAAUCAUGUGAGCAAUAAGCUCGUGGGGGUUCAAAUCCCCCCCUCGGCA
RNAcentral lists this transfer RNA (85 nucleotides) under Denitrovibrio sp. RNAcentral describes it as "tRNA-Leu". It matches the Rfam family "tRNA". From Rfam's summary of the family: Transfer RNA (tRNA) molecules are approximately 80 nucleotides in length. Their secondary structure includes four short double-helical elements and three loops (D, anti-codon, and T loops). Lineage: Bacteria; Pseudomonadati; Deferribacterota; Deferribacteres; Deferribacterales; Geovibrionaceae. The record is from RNAcentral.